AAAUUGAAGAGUUUGAUCAUGGCUCAGAUUGAACGCUGGCGGCAGGCCUAACACAUGCAAGUCGAACGGUAGCACAGAGAGCUUGCUCUCGGGUGACGAGUGGCGGACGGGUGAGUAAUGUCUGGGAAACUGCCUGAUGGAGGGGGAUAACUACUGGAAACGGUGGCUAAUACCGCAUAACGUCGCAAGACCAAAGAGGGGGACCUUCGGGCCUCUUGCCAUCAGAUGUGCCCAGAUGGGAUUAGCUGGUUGGUGAGGUAACGGCUCACCAAGGCGACGAUCCCUAGCUGGUCUGAGAGGAUGACCAGCCACACUGGAACUGAGACACGGUCCAGACUCCUACGGGAGGCAGCAGUGGGGAAUAUUGCACAAUGGGCGCAAGCCUGAUGCAGCCAUGCCGCGUGUAUGAAGAAGGCCUUCGGGUUGUAAAGUACUUUCAGCGGGGAGGAAGGUGUUGUGGUUAAUAACCGCAGCAAUUGACGUUACCCGCAGAAGAAGCACCGGCUAACUCCGUGCCAGCAGCCGCGGUAAUACGGAGGGUGCAAGCGUUAAUCGGAAUUACUGGGCGUAAAGCGCACGCAGGCGGUCUGUCAAGUCGGAUGUGAAAUCCCCGGGCUCAACCUGGGAACUGCAUUCGAAACUGGCAGGCUUGAGUCUUGUAGAGGGGGGUAGAAUUCCAGGUGUAGCGGUGAAAUGCGUAGAGAUCUGGAGGAAUACCGGUGGCGAAGGCGGCCCCCUGGACAAAGACUGACGCUCAGGUGCGAAAGCGUGGGGAGCAAACAGGAUUAGAUACCCUGGUAGUCCACGCCGUAAACGAUGUCUACUUGGAGGUUGUGCCCUUGAGGCGUGGCUUCCGGAGCUAACGCGUUAAGUAGACCGCCUGGGGAGUACGGCCGCAAGGUUAAAACUCAAAUGAAUUGACGGGGGCCCGCACAAGCGGUGGAGCAUGUGGUUUAAUUCGAUGCAACGCGAAGAACCUUACCUGGUCUUGACAUCCACGGAAGUUUUCAGAGAUGAGAAUGUGCCUUCGGGAACCGUGAGACAGGUGCUGCAUGGCUGUCGUCAGCUCGUGUUGUGAAAUGUUGGGUUAAGUCCCGCAACGAGCGCAACCCUUAUCCUUUGUUGCCAGCGAUUCGGUCGGGAACUCAAAGGAGACUGCCAGUGAUAAACUGGAGGAAGGUGGGGAUGACGUCAAGUCAUCAUGGCCCUUACGACCAGGGCUACACACGUGCUACAAUGGCGCAUACAAAGAGAAGCGACCUCGCGAGAGCAAGCGGACCUCAUAAAGUGCGUCGUAGUCCGGAUUGGAGUCUGCAACUCGACUCCAUGAAGUCGGAAUCGCUAGUAAUCGUGGAUCAGAAUGCCACGGUGAAUACGUUCCCGGGCCUUGUACACACCGCCCGUCACACCAUGGGAGUGGGUUGCAAAAGAAGUAGGUAGCUUAACCUUCGGGAGGGCGCUUACCACUUUGUGAUUCAUGACUGGGGUGAAGUCGUAACAAGGUAACCGUAGGGGAACCUGCGGUUGGAUCACCUCCUUA
Molecule: ribosomal RNA, 1540 nt
Filed under: Salmonella enterica
Lineage: Bacteria; Pseudomonadati; Pseudomonadota; Gammaproteobacteria; Enterobacterales; Enterobacteriaceae
Also listed under: 1 other name
Description: bacterial SSU rRNA
Rfam family: Bacterial small subunit ribosomal RNA
Source: RNAcentral